UAUAUAUUGGUGUAAAUGCACAAAAAAUUUUGAUUUUUUAAGAGGUAGUGGGAUUCUACUAUGUAUAU
RNAcentral lists this transfer RNA (68 nucleotides) under Apotamonautes hainanensis. RNAcentral describes it as "tRNA-Gln". Lineage: Eukaryota; Metazoa; Arthropoda; Malacostraca; Decapoda; Potamidae. The record is from RNAcentral.